RNAcentral lists this ribosomal RNA (127 nucleotides) under Salmonella enterica subsp. enterica serovar Montevideo. Its description in RNAcentral is "partial 23S ribosomal RNA". It matches the Rfam family "Bacterial large subunit ribosomal RNA", at positions 53 to 180 of the family's 2925-position model. Lineage: Bacteria; Pseudomonadati; Pseudomonadota; Gammaproteobacteria; Enterobacterales; Enterobacteriaceae. The record is from RNAcentral.
AGGGCGUGCUAAUCUGCGAUAAGCGCCGGUAAGGUGAUAUGAACCGUUAUAACCGGCGAUACCCGAAUGGGGAAACCCAGUGUGAUUCGUCACACUAUCAUUAACUGAAUCCAUAGGUUAAUGAGGC